RNAcentral lists this long non-coding RNA (3424 nucleotides) under Triticum aestivum (bread wheat). RNAcentral describes it as "long non-coding RNA (TAES_LNC017759)". The record is from RNAcentral. Lineage: Eukaryota; Viridiplantae; Streptophyta; Magnoliopsida; Poales; Poaceae.
UCUCUCCAGAAAAGAACGCCUUAUCCUAAUCUCCUUUCCUCGUCUCAACCUGGUGGUGGCGAAGAACCAGAGGGCCACAGCCGCUGCCGGUGUCGUAGCCCGGGGUGUCGAGGGAGAGGCGACGGACUGGAGGAACCAGGCGAGCCGGUCGGCGGGUAACCGGAGCAGCAGCGCCAUCGUCUCCUCCCUUCGUCUUUCUUCUAGUUGGAGCGGGGUCGGCCAGCUGCCGCAUCCCCGUCGAGGAAGGGGCCACGGAGCUCACGCCGGAGAGUGGCCUAGUGCUUAGGUAAGGCUGCAGCCGCGCUGUCGUGUGGUCUGCUGACACCAAGGGCUGGUCCAUCGCCGGGGCGUGCAUCAGCAGCGACGCCUCCGAGAUUGGCCACCCGCCAUGGAUGUUCCUCUGGUCUGACCCUAGUGCCAUGGAACAAGUCAAGGUACCCCGCCUCUCCCCCCCGUCACACCCUCUGUUCGCUUGGAUUUGGCAGCCCUCACCUUGGAUUCUCUUUGUAUCCAGCACGCAUGGCAGCAGAUCGCUGCAGCCAUCCUUCUCACCUGGGAAGGAGGAGAUCCAUCAGCAGCCCAGGUUCGUCUCUCUUUUUCCUCGUCCCUGCUCACUUCCUCAACUCUCUGCUCAGGUUCUGUGUGUUGCUGCUAGAUCCUCAAGUGUGAGUUUAGCCUGCUAGAUGUGUAUACUAGUUUCAGUUUAUCUAGAAGAAGAGGGGAGUGAGGAGACCAGUUUCGCUCGUGUCUUGCUCAAUUUUGUACUGGUUUCUCAUCAAGUGUCCCCUGACAUGGGUUAGGUGGAUGGAUGGAUACAUAUAUCUAGCAAAAUUAACAUGAGUAAUUAUUGUCUACUGAUUAAGCCGAUUGAUGCAAGGUGUUCAUAUAUCUAUCUAUCUAUGUGUUACUACUUCUAGGAAAUGGAAUCGGUGUUUUUGCUUGGAGAUUGUACUGAUUUUUACGACCAGGAAUUUUUUUGUUUUUUGCAUUCUAGCUACCUCACUUUUUAGCAUGAGUUGCCUAGAGUUCCAAUUCCCCAACCCCCUUGCUUCUCCAUCUACUCCAACUUGUUCUAUCUAACCUGCUUCGAACUGCUGCAGGAUCUACUCAAUUUUGAUCCUUUUCUUAGUGCCUGCCAGUAGUUGCUUCAAAUUUAGCAUCAGUUGCUUGAAAUUAUAGGCAAAGUUGUUGCAUCUUUUUUACUUUUGCACACGAGAUCAUGUGUUAUCAUUUUUGUUUAGAAGGAUCAUGUUUGAGGGAACUUGGUGGGCAGAACAAAUCAACAUAUACAAGUAUAAGUCUAUCAUAUGCUCUGCUCUGUCUCUUGAUUGAUGACAACAGAAUUCAGUAGGAGUACCGUUUGUUCAUCCAAUUGAUAAUUCAUUCCUGAACUGCCACUGUUUUUGCGAGAUGAAUAAUGGGCUAGAUUCAGAGAUACGUGAAUUUUGCCUACAUAUAGAAUUAGAUUGCACUGUUUUUUUUAUAAAAUGAAAUGAAUGUGCUCCAUGCAACUCAGGGGGUUUUGGUGUUGAUUUUGCAUGAGAUACAACUGAUUUCAAUGUCAUAAACACAUUUUUUGUGCAACUUGUUGCUUCAAAGCAUGUGUAGUUGCUCAAGUUUAUAAUAUGGGUUGCCUGGAAUUAAACGAAGGGUUACUUUAAUUUUUACUAAAUCUAUAGGGCCUGGAAACAGGGGGAGGUGCAGAUUUUGUACUCCGCCGAGUGGCUUCUCUUGUGACGGGCGUCACGCCUGAUAUGGGGAUUGAAGGGGGUUGGGCAGCAUUGGAUUCGGAAGGCGACUUUCCACUCCAAGGAUAGAAUAGUUACUUGGAUUUCGUUAAAAGAGUUGCAUUUUGUGCGUGUACCGCAGUUGCUUAGUUUUGUUGGGGCAGUUGCUCGGAUUCGUUUUUGAACAUUUUUGUUGCAUUUUUGCCUCUUGUAAUGCAGUUGCUUGGUUUUCCUAGGACAGUUGCUUCCUUUUUACUAGAACAGCUUUGCAUUUUUGUGUUUUUUAAUUGAGUUUCUUGGAUUUUUGCUAGGCUAGAUGAGAAGUUGCAUGGAGAGGGGGGUCAGAUAGUUUUCCACAAAGGUUAUUCAAGUUUCUCACACCUUUUUUUUCUUCCUAAAGUAGUAGAUAAUCUAAGUAGUAAUGCUAGGGACAGUUACCUAUUUUUGCUAGGACAAUUUCACACUUUUCUGUUUCGAGUUGCUUGGAUUGUUUGCUGUAAGUUUUUUAGAUUAUCAUCUCAGAUUUGAAUACGCAUGCAGACUGAGAAGAUACAUCUAUGAAGUAGUUCCGGAUGGCCUAUAACUGAUGCGAUGAUUGAUUUGCAUGGCUAUCAUCCCGAUCCUCCUCCCGUCGACGCGCUCCGUGCGAAGCACACCAUCGCCCCACCCUCCACCCUAAAGUAGAUGCUAGGGGAGUUGCUUGAUUUUUCUAGGACAAUUGCUUGGUUUUGCUAGGGUAGUUGCUUGUUUUUCUUGCUAGAACAAUUUUUGCAUUUUGUGUACUUUUGUAGUUGAGUUGUUUGGAUUUUUGCUAGAACAGAUGAGAAGUUACAUGGAGGAGGGGGGAUAAGAUAGUUGCCCACAAAGGUUAUUCAACUUACUCAUGUGUUUUUUUUUGCCUAAAAUAGACAAUCUAAGUAGUAGUGCCAGAGACAUCUGCUUGUUUCUGCUACAACAGUUUCCCACUUUUUGCGUUUCUUUGUAAUCGAAUUGCUUUGAUCUUCUGCUACAACAUACGAGAAGGUGGAUGAGAGGGGAGUUGCUUGGUUUUGCUAGGACAUUUUUUUCAUAAAAGGUUAUUCAAGUUGCUCAUACAUUUUUUCCUCUGCCUAAAAUUGAUGGUAGGGGAGUUGCUUGGUUUUGCUAGGACAAUUGCUUGGUUUUGCUAGGGCAGUUGUUUGUUUUUUUGCUAGAACAAUUUUGCAUUUUUGUGUUUUUUAUAUUGAGUUACAAGCAAAAGGGCUGCUCAACCUGAUGUUUCACAGGGUGAAAUGCUGGAUCGACAUGAGGUACCCAUUGUUUUUUCAGAUUUUUUUGAUGAAACGGUGAAGAUGAAGAAGGAAAGCAACCGGAACGGGCGAAGAGAGGUGGAUAGGAAGUAAUUCUAAAAAAUACUGUAUUAGUAGAUUAAGUUGCAUCAGAAUAUAUAUGGAGCUGCUUAGUUCACAUCAACAGUUGCAUAAAAAUGCCUGGAACACAUUUUUUCUUUUUUAAUAGUUGUCCAUGAAUCACACUAAAGUUGCCUAUGUUAGAGAAUAUAUAUGUUGUCUCUACUUGUUGUUUUUGUGGUUCUUUUUUUUCGCACAAGGGCUGCCUGAUAUUACUGCAAGGAGCUUAUGGGGCAGCAACCUCUCUUUUAAUGCAUGACACUAGUUGCUUCAAAUUUUAAAAGAGUUGUCCGAAAUCAUAGCAAAGUU